This is a long non-coding RNA of Tympanuchus pallidicinctus (lesser prairie-chicken), 1010 nucleotides long. RefSeq lists it as uncharacterized. The transcript has 2 exons. Lineage: Eukaryota; Metazoa; Chordata; Aves; Galliformes; Phasianidae. The record is from RefSeq and is a predicted model, not a curated record.
GGAGGUUUUCUACCUGGAAGUCCCUUCUUUCUGAAUAUCUGAUGAGCCCUUAUCUUUGUGACAGUAAGAACUUUUUUUGAAUGCUUCACUUUUGGAGAAUAUUAGCUGAUUCAAUUCCAGUAGUUAUGGAAUGCUCAAGCUAAGAUCUUCUACUACAUUUCACAAAGGCUCAGCAAGGAGGCAAGCCAUGACACAGCCUGCCAGCCCAUGCUGAAGCUGUAACUAUGAAGACAGAUGGAAGACAGAAGGAAGAGUAACUAUGAAACAUAUACAAGGACACAUAUCGGAGAGCUGCUUUGGGUAGCUCUUUUGACACUGUCUGUAUUUCUCUGGUCGAUAUCAUUAUGAUCAUGUAAGUUGACUGGAUAUAUAUUUCACAGUAAGAUUUAGAAGUGAGUUCACUCUGAACAUUAUAAAUGCCAUAGAGAAUCAUAGAAUCAUAGAAUCAUUAAGGUUGUAAAGACCAAUAAGAUUAUCUAGUCCAACCAUCAUCAGGCCAUGCCUGUGACCAUUCUACAACAUGUCACUCAGUGUGACAUCUACUCUUUCUUGAAAGCCUUCAAGGACGGUUACUCCACCACCUCAUCCGUAGCACAAUAAUUUAUUUCAUAAUUACCUUUGUUUAUGGUUCAGAGGAGAUUUCAGUACAAAUCGUGGUGUAAGGCAGAGUAGUUAAUAUUAGCCUUCAAUCAAUGGUUUCACUUUUUUGAGUGCUGUAAAAAUAAAUGAGCCAAUCCUGAGUGUUAAUUUUAAUGAAUUACUCAUAUCAUUUAUGUAAAAAGAAUAAAAAUUAUUUAUUGGUUUACAAGCAUCUUAUUGCCUUUCUUUGAAGUAGUGAUCAAUGUAAGUUUAAUUUUAAGCAAUGCAAGUGGAUAAUCUCCAGUGAUGUUUUUACAUGCUUCAAACAGCUCACAGUGCUCUUGCUUUUCUUUCUGCCAGUGACUGUGCAUUUUAAAUGGACUGUUAUUUGCAAUGAUUUUAACAAGAGUGAAUAAAUACCUACAGAAAAU